UUAAAGGAAAAAAAAGAAAAAAGGUGCUAUUUAUUAGGAUGUGACUUGCUACCAACUGACUUUGAUUCGUGUUGACACAGUCUGGGGUCCUUCAGCUAAAACCAAGCACAGCCCUGCUUACCCCGCUCUGAACCGCCACGGGACGCGGUCGCACAGCCAGGGGCUGGGUGCUCACACUCAAACCACCCCACACCCACCUGCAAGGGGUACCCUGUUGGGGCUGUGAAGGAACAGCAGCUGCAGAGGGGACCAGCUGUGCAGCGAGGCACAUGGCCAGCAUGGCCAGCGUGCUGGUAGCCGCCAGCACACCGUGUGCCAUAGGUUUCCUGUGUGACUGCAGACAAGUUAAAAAAAAUGUUGCCAUGGCAACAGUGCACCCUGUGAGAGCAAGGAGUAGUUCUUGCAGAGGCUACACACGUUAUCUUCCCCACCACAAGGUUCACUUGCAGGAGCAGCAGCGAAGUGUGACAAUCUGAUCUAGGCAAUUACUCCUCCUCCAUCUAGCCACCAUUCUCCCCAAUUAGUCCUCUGAGUAACACAUUUGAAACCUUUAGCUCUUUGGUACUGGCAGUUUCAACGUGGCCAUUGCCAGCAAUGGAUACCAUGCCAAGAAAAUCCGACUCCUGGCUUGAAAGGAUUAAACAGUCCUCUGUUGCCAUCUGUGCCGUGAAGCUGGUGAGUGACUUUGUGCACCCAGAGCGUUAACGUUCGUUCUGCACAGCGACAGUAACUUGUAUUUACACUGCUACCUCACAGACCUCCUACUCUUCCCACUGCCUUAAAGAAACGCUUUUGGAAAAAGGCAGGCAGGCGGCUGCAGGCUGCUGGUCAGUGCCUGCUGGGCCCAGUAACUCAGUGGUUAGAAGAGGCAGACACAGACACAGCAGCAAGGUGUCCAGCAGUCACUACCAUUGUUCCCAGUCUUGACCAGAACGUCUCAUAUAGCAGUUGACAUCACUAGAGUACUAUUGUUUUGCAGGCUACAAAGUGAUCAAAUGGAAGUAAAUGUAAUAAAAAAAACUCCAGAACACCAACACACCAAAUAAACAACAGAAACUCCACACCAUUCACCAAGAAGAAGCUGCCUUGUGUAAAUCCAAACACGUGAAACUACAGCCUCUAACAGCACAAUGCAACAGUUCUAGCAGGAAAGAAGAAACAAACUUAUUUCUUCCCACAGGGAAAUAACUAAACUGUUUAAAGAACAAUACAGCAGUUUAGAAAUGAAACAACACACCAAAAAAUGAAAUAAAGUGAUUUCUU
Non-coding RNA from Cyanistes caeruleus (blue tit), 1263 nucleotides. NCBI's taxonomy places the organism in Eukaryota, Metazoa, Chordata, Aves, Passeriformes, Paridae. The record is from RefSeq and is a predicted model, not a curated record.